GAUAGACAGAUGAUUGCAGUAUGUGGGUAGCUGCUGAGUUUGGUGUGGUGUGACCGUUCAUCUAAGAUGUCAUGUGUGUUUCUAGGAUAUCAAUCUCUUCUCAUGCAGGAAAAGAUUCAGUCUGGUUCUCAUUUUAUUCCCACAGCACAUGAAUGACUUGCUUUACACAAUGUUGCUCUUCACUUUGUGUGUAUUCUCUGCAGGCUACUUGCGUUCUCCGCAGGGCAGGUUAGUGUCACAAGGUUUUUGACCCAGCUAGCCUUUGAUGAUAAAUACUUCCUGUUUCAGCUUUAUGGCAUGCUGUGAUGCCAUGUUUCCUGGUAGUGGAGAGUUGCUGACCUUGUGCUGUAAUUCAGGGAAGAGGUAGCCUGACCCAGCCCCUGCUGCUUCUCUUUGAGAUCACAGAAAGUCAGAAGACCCAUGCACAAACAUGAAUUUGAUAUGUUGUGACUCAGACCUC
Molecule: long non-coding RNA, 460 nt
Organism: Oxyura jamaicensis (ruddy duck)
Lineage: Eukaryota; Metazoa; Chordata; Aves; Anseriformes; Anatidae
Exons: 3
Source: RefSeq, a predicted model, not a curated record